This 723-nucleotide ribosomal RNA is filed under the name uncultured Porphyromonadaceae bacterium. RNAcentral's name for it is "bacterial SSU rRNA". It matches the Rfam family "Bacterial small subunit ribosomal RNA", at positions 228 to 951 of the family's 1533-position model. Lineage: Bacteria; Pseudomonadati; Bacteroidota; Bacteroidia; Bacteroidales; Porphyromonadaceae. The record is from RNAcentral.
GGGAUGCGUUCCAUUAGAUAGUUGGCGGGGUAACGGCCCACCAAGUCGACGAUGGAUAGGGGUUCUGAGAGGAAGGUCCCCCACAUUGGUACUGAGACACGGACCAAACUCCUACGGGAGGCAGCAGUGAGGAAUAUUGGUCAAUGGCCGAGAGGCUGAACCAGCCAAGUCGCGUGAGGGAUGAAGGUUCUAUGGAUCGUAAACCUCUUUUAUAAGGGAAUAAAGUGCGGGACGUGUCCCGUUUUGUAUGUACCUUAUGAAUAAGGAUCGGCUAACUCCGUGCCAGCAGCCGCGGUAAUACGGAGGAUCCGAGCGUUAUCCGGAUUUAUUGGGUUUAAAGGGUGCGUAGGCGGCCUUUUAAGUCAGCGGUGAAAGUCUGUGGCUCAACCAUAGAAUUGCCGUUGAAACUGGGGGGCUUGAGUAUGUUUGAGGCAGGCGGAAUGCGUGGUGUAGCGGUGAAAUGCAUAGAUAUCACGCAGAACCCCGAUUGCGAAGGCAGCCUGCCAAGCCAUUACUGACGCUGAUGCACGAAAGCGUGGGGAUCAAACAGGAUUAGAUACCCUGGUAGUCCACGCAGUAAACGAUGAUCACUAGCUGUUUGCGAUACACUGUAAGCGGCACAGCGAAAGCGUUAAGUGAUCCACCUGGGGAGUACGCCGGCAACGGUGAAACUCAAAGGAAUUGACGGGGGCCCGCACAAGCGGAGGAACAUGUGGUUUAAUU